GAUGAACGCUAGCUACAGGCUUAACACAUGCAAGUCGAGGGGAAACGACAUCGAAAGCUUGCUUUUGAUGGGCGUCGACCGGCGCACGGGUGAGUAACGCGUAUCCAACCUGCCCACCACUUGGGGAUAACCUUGCGAAAGUAAGACUAAUACCCAAUGAUAUCCCACGAAGGCAUCCGAAUGGGAUUAAAGAUUUAUCGGUGAUGGAUGGGGAUGCGUCUGAUUAGCUUGUUGGCGGGGUAACGGCCCACCAAGGCAACGAUCAGUAGGGGUUCUGAGAGGAAGGUCCCCCACAUUGGAACUGAGACACGGUCCAAACUCCUACGGGAGGCAGCAGUGAGGAAUAUUGGUCAAUGGGCGAGAGCCUGAACCAGCCAAGUAGCGUGCAGGAUGACGGCCCUAUGGGUUGUAAACUGCUUUUAUGCGGGGAUAAAGCGGGCGAUGUGUCGCCCCUUGCAGGUACCGCAUGAAUAAGGACCGGCUAAUUCCGUGCCAGCA
This 498-nucleotide ribosomal RNA is filed under the name uncultured bacterium. RNAcentral's name for it is "bacterial SSU rRNA". It matches the Rfam family "Bacterial small subunit ribosomal RNA", at positions 28 to 513 of the family's 1533-position model. The record is from RNAcentral.